GUCAAGAGGAUCCUUGGCAGAACCUACUCAGCUCAACAUGACAAUCUCCUGUCAUCUAUGUUUUUGCUCCUGGUCAUCAUUAGAAGAAUGAAAACCUCAAAAUCAGUCAGACUGUAUGAAAAUAAAAUGUGUCCUGGUACCCUGAAACACAGUCACCUGAUGUCUGUCUUCUGAGAUAAGGGCAAUGGAGGCAUGUGCUUACAUGUGGUGUCUGCAAAAUACGAAUAUUUUUAAUCCCUCUGGAUAUAGCCAUAUAAAUAAAAUUGAACCACUUUUGCCAUCCUUUUAUUUCACUUGAACUAAUCUGAAGGAGAGCUGAAGGAGCAGCCUGAAUGAGCACAAUGAG
Molecule: long non-coding RNA, 346 nt
Organism: Nothoprocta perdicaria
Lineage: Eukaryota; Metazoa; Chordata; Aves; Tinamiformes; Tinamidae
Exons: 3
Source: RefSeq, a predicted model, not a curated record